This 253-nucleotide ribosomal RNA is filed under the name uncultured bacterium. Its description in RNAcentral is "partial 16S ribosomal RNA". It matches the Rfam family "Bacterial small subunit ribosomal RNA", at positions 524 to 776 of the family's 1533-position model. The record is from RNAcentral.
UACGUAGGGGGCAAGCGUUGUCCGGAAUCAUUGGGCGUAAAGCGCGUGUAGGCGGCCAGAAAAGUCUGCUGUGAAAACUCGAGGCUCAACUUCGAGCUGUCGGUGGAAACUUUCUGGCUAGAGUCCGGAAGAGGAGAAUGGAAUUCCUGGUGUAGCGGUGAAAUGCGCAGAUAUCAGGAAGAACACCCGUGGCGAAGGCGGUUCUCUGGGACGGUACUGACGCUGAGACGCGAAAGCGUGGGGAGCGAACAGG